GACGAACCGUCCAAACGUUAUUCGGUAUCACUGGGCUUAAAGAGUUCGUAGGCGGCCUAGCAGGUCAGGUGUGAAAUCCCACAGCUCAACUGUGGAACUGCGCUUGAAACCGCAAGGCUCGAGGGAGAUAGAGGUGAGCGGAACAGAUGGUGGAGCGGUGAAAUGCGUUGAUAUCAUCUGGAACACCGGUGGCGAAAGCGGCUCACUGGAUCUCUUCUGACGCUGAGGAACGAAAGCUAGGGUAGCGAACGGG
This 253-nucleotide ribosomal RNA is filed under the name uncultured bacterium. RNAcentral's name for it is "partial 16S ribosomal RNA". It matches the Rfam family "Bacterial small subunit ribosomal RNA", at positions 524 to 776 of the family's 1533-position model. The record is from RNAcentral.